RNAcentral lists this ribosomal RNA (254 nucleotides) under uncultured bacterium. Its description in RNAcentral is "partial 16S ribosomal RNA". It matches the Rfam family "Bacterial small subunit ribosomal RNA", at positions 524 to 779 of the family's 1533-position model. The record is from RNAcentral.
UACGUAGGGUGCAAGCGUUGUCCGGAAUUAUUGGGCGUAAAGAGCUCGUAGGCGGUCUGUCGCGUCGGAUGUGAAAAUCCAGGGCUCAACCCUGGACCUGCAUUCGAUACGGGCAGACUAGAGUGCGGUAGGGAGAUUGGAAUUCCUGGUGUAGCGGUGGAAUGCGCAGAUAUCAGGAGGAACACCGAUGGCGAAGGCAGAUCUCUGGGCCGUAACUGACGCUGAGGAGCGAAAGCGUGGGAGCGAACGGGAUU